RNAcentral lists this ribosomal RNA (253 nucleotides) under uncultured bacterium. RNAcentral describes it as "partial 16S ribosomal RNA". It matches the Rfam family "Bacterial small subunit ribosomal RNA", at positions 524 to 776 of the family's 1533-position model. The record is from RNAcentral.
UACGAAGGGGGCUAGCGUUGCUCGGAAUUACUGGGCGUAAAGUGUGCGCAGGCGGCAGAGCAAGUCGAGUGUGAAAGCCCCGGGCUUAACUUGGGAAUUGCGCUCGAAACUACUUUGCUGGAGUGUGGCAGAGGAAGGUGGAAUUCCACGUGUAGCGGUGAAAUGCGUAGAGAUGUGGAGGAACACCAAUGGCGAAGGCAGCCUUCUGGGCCAACACUGACGCUCAUGCACGAAAGCGUGGGGAGCAAACAGG